Molecule: ribosomal RNA, 1078 nt
Filed under: uncultured Desulfobacteraceae bacterium
Lineage: Bacteria; Pseudomonadati; Thermodesulfobacteriota; Desulfobacteria; Desulfobacterales; Desulfobacteraceae
Description: bacterial SSU rRNA
Rfam family: Bacterial small subunit ribosomal RNA
Source: RNAcentral
CUGAGCAGCAACCCGCGUGGUGAUGAAGGCCUUCGGGCGUAAAGCUCUGUCAAGUGGGAAGAACCUGCCUUGUGAUAAUACCAUGGGGCACCGACGGUACCACUGAAGGAAGCACCGGCUAACUCCGUGCCAGCAGCCGCGGUAAUACGGGGGGUGCUAGCGUUAUUCGGAAUCAUUGGGCGUAAAGGGCGCGUAGGCGGUCUUUUAAGUCAGAUGUGAAAGCCCUCGGCUUAACCGAGGAAGUGCAUUUGAUACUAAGAGACUUGAGUAUGGGAGAGGGAAGCGGAAUUCCUGGUGUAGCGGUGAAAUGCGUAGAUAUCAGGAGGAACACCGGUGGCGAGGCGGCUUCCUGGACCAAUACUGACGCUGAGGCGCGAAGGCGUGGGGAGCAAACAGGAUUAGAUACCCUGGUAGUCCACGCAGUAAACUGUGAACACUAGGUGUAGCGGGUAUUGACCCCUUCAGGGCCCAAGCUAACGCGUUAAGUGUGCCGCCUGAGGACACGGCCGCAAGGCUAAAACUCAAAGAAUUGACGGGGGCCCGCACAAGCGGUGGAGCAUGUGGCUUAAUUCGAUGCAACGCGAAGAACCUUACCGGCCUUGACAUGCACUUGACCGAGGGUGAAAGCUCUCUUUCCCGCAAGGGACAGGUGCACAGGUGCUGCAUGGCUGUCGUCAGCUCGUGUCGUGAGAUGUUGCGUUAAGUCGCGCAACGAGCGCAACCCCUGUCCUUAGUUGCCAUCAUUAAGUUGGGCACUCUAAGGAGACAAACCCUCUCUGAGGGUGGGAAGGUGGGGAUGACGUCAAGUCAGGAUGGCCCUUACGGCCUGGGCUGCACACGUGCUACAAUGCUCGAUACAGAGGGAGGCAAGACCGCGAGGUGGAGCGAAUCCUCAAAAUCGAGCCCAGUUCAGAUUGCAGUCUGCAACUCGACUGCAUGAAGCCGGAAUCGCUAGUAAUGGCGCAUCAGCUACGGCGCCGUGAAUACGUUCCCGGGCCUUGUACACACCGCCCGUCACGUCAUGAAAGCCGGUUUCGCCCGAAGUAUGCUUGCCAACCAGCAAUGGAGGCGGCGUCCU